Long non-coding RNA from Corticium candelabrum, 405 nucleotides. RefSeq lists it as uncharacterized. The record is from RefSeq and is a predicted model, not a curated record. The transcript has 3 exons. Lineage: Eukaryota; Metazoa; Porifera; Homoscleromorpha; Homosclerophorida; Plakinidae.
UCCUAUGAAGAUAGCGUAUCAUUCUUGAAAAUCACUAUUGAAAAUUAAAAGUGCCUCGUUGUUUUGGAAAGAAAUGUUGCUACAGCCAACACUGCUAUGUGAUCAGCCCAUGUUCCAUUUCUUCUCAGAUUAAUCAGAUAGCUUGCCCAGUCUUUGUUGACAACAAAGUGUGACAUAUCAAGAGGUUUGCCUUCUGUAUCCUGGAUAUGCAAGAGUUGAUACAAUUCAAUGUUCAACCAAUUGUCUAUUAGUAAGAAGUACAAAAAUACUAAUGCUACUCAAAUACAUGUGGGAGAGGCUGGCUAGACGAGAUUAGCUAAAUGACGUCACGUAUGUCACGCGUAUCUAGUUGUAGAGCCCUAGAUGAUCUAAGACAUAUUGAACUUACCCAUGUAAGUUGAAGAA